ACGGCCCACCAAGGCGACGAUCAGUAGCCGACCUGAGAGGGUGACCGGCCACAUUGGGACUGAGACACGGCCCAAACUCCUACGGGAGGCAGCAGUGGGGAAUAUUGGGCAAUGGGGGAAACCCUGACCCAGCAACGCCGCGUGAAGGAAGAAGGCCUUCGGGUUGUAAAGCUCUAUCAGCAGGGAAGAAACUGACGGUACCUGACUAAGAAGCACCGGCUAAAUAC
Molecule: ribosomal RNA, 227 nt
Filed under: uncultured bacterium
Lineage: Bacteria
Description: partial 16S ribosomal RNA
Rfam family: Bacterial small subunit ribosomal RNA
Source: RNAcentral